GUGGGGAAUAUUGGACAAUGGGCGAAAGCCUGAUCCAGCCAUGCCGCGUGUGUGAAGAAGGUCUUCGGAUUGUAAAGCACUUUAAGUUGGGAGGAAGGGCAGUAAGUUAAUACCUUGCUGUUUUGACGUUACCGUCAGAAUAAGCACCGGCUAACUUCGUGCCAGCAGCCGCGGUAAUACGAAGGGUGCAAGCGUUAAUCGGAAUUACUGGGCGUAAAGCGCGCGUAGGUGGUUUUGUAAGUUGGAGGUGAAAUCCCUGGGCUCAACCUGGGAACUGCCUCCAAAACUGCAUGACUAGAGUACGGUAGAGGGUAGUGGAAUUUCCUGUGUAGCGGUGAAAUGCGUAGAUAUAGGAAGGAACACCAGUGGCGAAGGCGACUACCUGGACUGAUACUGACACUGAGGUGCGAAAGCGUGGGGAGCAAACAGGAUUAGAUACCCCUGUAGUCC
RNAcentral lists this ribosomal RNA (450 nucleotides) under uncultured bacterium. Its description in RNAcentral is "partial 16S ribosomal RNA". It matches the Rfam family "Bacterial small subunit ribosomal RNA", at positions 354 to 796 of the family's 1533-position model. The record is from RNAcentral.